CCUACGGGUGGCAGCAGUGGGGAAUAUUGCACAAUGGGCGAAAGCCUGAUGCAGCAACGCCGCGUGAAGGAAGACGGUUUUCGGAUUGUAAACUUCUGUUCUCAGUGAAGAAUAAUGACGGUAACUAAGGAGCAAGCCACGGCUAAAUACGCGCCAGCAGCCGCGGUAAUACGUAGGCGGCAAGCGUUGUCCGGAAUUACUGGGUGUAAAGGGAGCGUAGGCGGGAAGCCAAGUCAGCUGUGAAAACUACGGGCUUAACGUGUAGACUGCAGUUGAAACUGGCUUUCUUGAGUGAAGUAGAGGUUGGCGGAAUUCCGAGUGUAGCGGUGAAAUGCGUAGAUAUUCGGAGGAACACCAGUGGCGAAGGCGACCAACUGGGCUUUAACUGACGCUGAGGCUCGAAAGUGUGGGUAGCAAACAGGAUUAGAUACCCGAGUAGUC
Molecule: ribosomal RNA, 441 nt
Filed under: uncultured bacterium
Lineage: Bacteria
Description: partial 16S ribosomal RNA
Rfam family: Bacterial small subunit ribosomal RNA
Source: RNAcentral